GAUGAACGCUGGCGGCGUGCCUAAUACAUGCAAGUCGAGCGAAUGGAUUAAGAGCUUGCUCUUAUGAAGUUAGCGGCGGACGGGUGAGUAACACGUGGGUAACCUGCCCAUAAGACUAGGAUAACUCCGGGAAACCGGGGCUAACACCGGAUAAUACUUUGAACUGCGUGGGUCACACUUGAAAGGCGGCUUCGGCUGUCACUUAUGGAUGGACCGGCGUCGCAUUAGCUAGUUGGUGAGGUAACGGCUCACCAAGGCAACGAUGCGUAGCCGACCUGAGAGGGUGAUCGGCCACACUGGGACUGAGACACGGCCCAGACUCCUACGGGAGGCAGCAGUAGGGAAUCUUCCGCAAUGGACGAAAGUCUGACGGAGCAACGCCGCGUGAGUGAUGAAGGCUUUCGGGUCGUAAAACUCUGUUGUUAGGGAAGAACAAGUGCUAGUUGAAUAAGCUGGCACCUUGACGGUACCUAACCAGAAAGCCACGGCUAACUACGUGCCAGCAGCCGCAGUAA
This 515-nucleotide ribosomal RNA is filed under the name uncultured bacterium. Its description in RNAcentral is "partial 16S ribosomal RNA". It matches the Rfam family "Bacterial small subunit ribosomal RNA", at positions 28 to 523 of the family's 1533-position model. The record is from RNAcentral.